AGGUGAGUAGCUCAGUGGGAGAGCGACGCCCUUACAAGGCGUAGGUCGCAGGUUCGACCCCUGUCUCACCUA
This 72-nucleotide transfer RNA is filed under the name Hydrogenobaculum acidophilum. RNAcentral's name for it is "tRNA-Val". It matches the Rfam family "tRNA". Rfam says of the family: Transfer RNA (tRNA) molecules are approximately 80 nucleotides in length. Their secondary structure includes four short double-helical elements and three loops (D, anti-codon, and T loops). The record is from RNAcentral. Lineage: Bacteria; Pseudomonadati; Aquificota; Aquificia; Aquificales; Aquificaceae. RNAcentral also lists the same sequence under 7 other names.